CCAAAGGCUCUUUUAAGAGCCACCAAAGUGUCAAAUGAAGGGCUG
This is a regulatory RNA element of Pan troglodytes (chimpanzee), 45 nucleotides long. It matches the Rfam family "Histone 3' UTR stem-loop". Rfam says of the family: The mRNAs of metazoan histone genes lack a poly-A tail. 3' end processing occurs at a site between a highly conserved stem-loop (modelled by this family) and a purine rich region around 20 nts downstream (the histone downstream element, or HDE). The stem-loop is bound by a 31 kDa stem-loop binding protein (SLBP - also termed the histone hairpin binding protein, or HBP). Lineage: Eukaryota; Metazoa; Chordata; Mammalia; Primates; Hominidae. The record is from Rfam.